GCCAGACUCCUACGGGAGGCAGCAGUGGGGAAUAUUGCACAAUGGGGGAAACCCUGAUGCAGCGACGCCGCGUGAGUGAAGAAGUAUUUCGGUAUGUAAAGCUCUAUCAGCAGGGAAGAUAAUGACGGUACCUGACUAAGAAGCCCCGGCUAACUACGUGCCAGCAGCCGCGGUAAUACGUAGGGGGCAAGCGUUAUCCGGAUUUACUGGGUGUAAAGGGUGCGCAGGUGGCAGGGCAAGUCAGAUGUGAAAGCCCGGGGCUCAACCCCGGUAUUGCAUUUGAAACUGUCCGGCUAGAGUGCAGGAGAGGUAAGCGGAAUUCCUAGUGUAGCGGUGAAAUGCGUAGAUAUUAGGAGGAACACCAGUGGCGAAGGCGGCUUACUGGACUGUAACUGACACUGAGGCACGAAAGCGUGGGGAGCAAACAGGAUUAGAUACCCUCGUA
This 445-nucleotide ribosomal RNA is filed under the name uncultured bacterium. RNAcentral's name for it is "bacterial SSU rRNA". It matches the Rfam family "Bacterial small subunit ribosomal RNA", at positions 330 to 792 of the family's 1533-position model. The record is from RNAcentral.